RNAcentral lists this non-coding RNA (253 nucleotides) under uncultured bacterium. RNAcentral's name for it is "partial 16S ribosomal RNA". It matches the Rfam family "Bacterial small subunit ribosomal RNA", at positions 524 to 776 of the family's 1533-position model. RNAcentral also lists the same sequence under 1 other name. The record is from RNAcentral.
GACGAACCGUGCGAACGUUGUUCGGAAUCACUGGGCUUAAAGGGCGCGUAGGCGGGCUUGCAAGUCUGUGGUGAAAUCCUCCAGCCCAACUGGAGAACGGCCGUGGAUACUGCGAGUCUCGAGGGAGGUAGGGGCGUGCGGAACAGAUGGUGGAGCGGUGAAAUGCGUUGAUAUCAUCUGGAACUCCGGUGGCGAAGGCGGCACGCUGGACCUCAUCUGACGCUGAGGCGCGAAAGCUAGGGGAGCAAACGGG